RNAcentral lists this ribosomal RNA (1346 nucleotides) under uncultured bacterium. Its description in RNAcentral is "partial 16S ribosomal RNA". It matches the Rfam family "Bacterial small subunit ribosomal RNA", at positions 28 to 1381 of the family's 1533-position model. The record is from RNAcentral.
GACGAACCUUGGCGGCGUGCUUAACACAUGCAAGUCGAACGGAAAGGCCCUGCUUUUGUGGGGUGCUCGAGUGGCGAACGGGUGAGUAACACGUGAGUAACCUGCCCUUGACUUUGGGACAACUUCAGGAAACUGGGGCUAAUACCGGAUAGGAGCUCCUGCUGCAUGGUGGGGGUUGGAAAGUUUCGGCGGUUGGGGAUGGACUCGCGGCUUAUCAGCUUGUUGGUGGGGUAGUGGCUUACCAAGGCUUUGACGGGUAGCCGGCCUGAGAGGGUGACCGGCCACAUUGGGACUGAGAUACGGCCCAGACUCCUACGGGAGGCAGCAGUGGGGAAUAUUGCACAAUGGGCGGAAGCCUGAUGCAGCAACGCCGCGUGCGGGAUGACGGCCUUCGGGUUGUAAACCGCUUUCGCCUGUGACGAAGCGUGAGUGACGGUAAUGGGUAAAGAAGCACCGGCUAACUACGUGCCAGCAGCCGCGGUGAUACGUAGGGUGCGAGCGUUGUCCGGAUUUAUUGGGCGUAAAGGGCUCGUAGGUGGUUGAUCGCGUCGGAAGUGUAAUCUUGGGGCUUAACCCUGAGCGUGCUUUCGAUACGGGUUGACUUGAGGAAGGUAGGGGAGAAUGGAAUUCCUGGUGGAGCGGUGGAAUGCGCAGAUAUCAGGAGGAACACCAGUGGCGAAGGCGGUUCUCUGGGCCUUUCCUGACGCUGAGGAGCGAAAGCGUGGGGAGCGAACAGGCUUAGAUACCCUGGUAGUCCACGCUGUAAACGGUGGGUACUAGGUGUGGGGUCCAUUCCACGGGUUCCGUGCCGUAGCUAACGCUUUAAGUACCCCGCCUGGGGAGUACGGCCGCAAGGCUAAAACUCAAAGGAAUUGACGGGGCCCCGCACAAGCGGCGGAGCAUGCGGAUUAAUUCGAUGCAACGCGUAGAACCUUGCCUGGGUUUGACAUGGAUCGGGAGUGCUCAGAGAUGGGUGUGCCUCUUUUGGGGUCGGUUCACAGGUGGUGCAUGCCUGUCGUCAGCUCGUGUCGUGAGAUGUUGGGUUAAGUCCCGCAACGAGCGCAACCCUUGUUCACUGUUGCCAGCACGUUAUGGUGGGGACUCAGUGGAGACCGCCGGGGUCAACUCGGAGGAAGGUGGGGAUGACGUCAAGUCAUCAUGCCCCUUAUGUCCAGGGCUUCACGCAUGCUACAAUGGCUGGUACAGAGAGUGGCGAGCCUGUGAGGGUGAGCGAAUCUCGGAAAGCCGGUCUCAGUUCGGAUUGGGGUCUGCAACUCGACCUCAUGAAGUCGGAGUCGCUAGUAAUCGCAGAUCAGCAACGCUGCGGUGAAUACGUUCCCGGGGCU